This 481-nucleotide ribosomal RNA is filed under the name uncultured bacterium. RNAcentral describes it as "partial 16S ribosomal RNA". It matches the Rfam family "Bacterial small subunit ribosomal RNA", at positions 28 to 523 of the family's 1533-position model. The record is from RNAcentral.
GACGAACGCUGGCGGCGUGCUUAACACAUGCAAGUCGAGCGGAAAGGCCACUUCGGUGGUACUCGAGCGGCGAACGGGUGAGUAACACGUGAGUAAUUUGCCCCUGGCGUUGGGAUAGCCACCGGAAACGGUGAUUAAUACCGGAUACGACCACUUCUAGCAUGGGAUGGUGGUGGAAAGUUCUUUCGGCUAGGGAUGUGCUCGCGGCCGAUCAGCUUGAUGGUGAGGUAAUGGCUCACCAUGGCUUCGACGGGUAGCCGGCCUGAGAGGGUGACCGGUCACACUGGGACUGAGACACGGCCCAGACUCCUACGGGAGGCAGCAGUGGGGAAUAUUGGACAAUGGGCGGAAGCCUGAUCCAGCAACGCCGCGUGAGGGAUGUCGGCCUUCGGGUUGUAAACCUCUUUCAGCAGGGACGAAGCGCAAGUGACGGUACCUGCAGAAGAAGCACCGGCCAACUACGUGCCAGCCGCCGCAGUAA